RNAcentral lists this ribosomal RNA (1097 nucleotides) under Meyerozyma caribbica. RNAcentral's name for it is "SSU rRNA". It matches the Rfam family "Eukaryotic small subunit ribosomal RNA", at positions 21 to 1133 of the family's 1831-position model. Lineage: Eukaryota; Fungi; Ascomycota; Pichiomycetes; Serinales; Debaryomycetaceae. The record is from RNAcentral.
UAUAGAUAUAUUUUCGCUCAAGAUAAGCCAUGCAUGUCUAAGUAUAAGCAAUUAUACAGUGAAACUGCGAUGGCUCAUAAAUCAGUAUCGUUUAUUUGAUAGUACCUUUACUACUUGGAUAACCCGUGGUAAUUCUAGAGCUAAUACAUGCUAAAAAUCCCGACUGUUUGGAAGGGAUGUAUUUAUUAGAUAAAAAAUCAAUGCUCUUUGAGCUCUUUGAUGAUUCAUAAUAACUUUUCGAAUCGCAUGGCCUUGUGCUGGCGAUGGUUCAUUCAAAUUUCUGCCCUAUCAACUUUCGAUGGUAGGAUAGUGGCCUACCAUGGUUUCAACGGGUAACGGGGAAUAAGGGUUCGAUUCCGGAGAGGGAGCCUGAGAAACGGCUACCACAUCCAAGGAAGGCAGCAGGCGCGCAAAUUACCCAAUCCCGACACGGGGAGGUAGUGACAAUACAUAACGAUACAGGGCCCUUUCGGGUCUUGUAAUUGGAAUGAGUACAAUGUAAAUACCUUAACGAGGAACAAUUGGAGGGCAAGUCUGGUGCCAGCAGCCGCGGUAAUUCCAGCUCCAAUAGCGUAUAUUAAAGUUGUUGCAGUUAAAAAGCUCGUAGUUGAACUUUGGGCUUGGUUGGCCGGUCCGCCUUUUUGGCGAGUACUGGACCCAACCGAGCCUUUCCUUCUGGCUAACCAUUCGCCCUUGUGGUGUUUGGCGAACCAGGACUUUUACUUUGAAAAAAUUAGAGUGUUCAAAGCAGGCCUUUGCUCGAAUAUAUUAGCAUGGAAUAAUAGAAUAGGACGUUAUGGUUCUAUUUUGUUGGUUUCUAGGACCAUCGUAAUGAUUAAUAGGGACGGUCGGGGGCAUCAGUAUUCAGUUGUCAGAGGUGAAAUUCUUAGAUUUACUGAAGACUAACUACUGCGAAAGCAUUUGCCAAGGACGUUUUCAUUAAUCAAGAACGAAAGUUAGGGGAUCGAAGAUGAUCAGAUACCGUCGUAGUCUUAACCAUAAACUAUGCCGACUAGGGAUCGGGUGUUGUUCUUUUUUUGACGCACUCGGCACCUUACGAGAAAUCAAAGUCUUUGGGUCUGGGGAGUAUCCAUGCC